CAAACGGUCCUCUUUAGGGCCAUCAAAAUCAUAAACCAAAAUUCAU
This is a non-coding RNA of Anisakis simplex (herring worm), 46 nucleotides long. The record is from Rfam. Lineage: Eukaryota; Metazoa; Nematoda; Chromadorea; Rhabditida; Anisakidae.